This 843-nucleotide non-coding RNA is filed under the name Caledoniscincus austrocaledonicus. RNAcentral describes it as "partial 12S ribosomal RNA". It matches the Rfam family "Bacterial small subunit ribosomal RNA". The record is from RNAcentral. Lineage: Eukaryota; Metazoa; Chordata; Lepidosauria; Squamata; Scincidae.
UUGGUCCUAAACUUGCCAUUGUUUUUAAUAAAAAUUACACAUGCAAGCUUCAACACACCAGUGAAAAUGCCCACACACUCCUAAACAGCUUACAGGAGCAGGUAUCAGGAACAACCAAAUGUUUGCCUAAAACACCUUGCUACGCCACACCCACACGGGCCUUCAGCAGUGAAUAAUAUUAAGAGAUAAGCGAAAGCUUGACUUAGUUAUUAUUAAUAUGGUCGGUAAAUUUCGUGCCAGCCACCGCGGUUAUACGAAAGACCAAAAACAAUUUGCCAACGGCGUAAAGAGUGACUAAAUUAACCCAAUAUUUAAAGGAGAGCUGCAACAAAGUUGUAAAAUACUACUGAUUGCAGGAACCACAACAAUAAGUGCCUUUAAACACUUGACCUCACGAAAGCUAAGAAACAAACUGGGAUUAGAUACCCCACUAUGCUUAGCCGUAAACAAAAACAGUACAAAUACAAUACUGUUCGCCAGAGAACUACAAGCCAAAACUCGAAACUCCAAGGACUUGGCGGUGCUCCACAUCGACCUAGAGGAGCCUGUCCUAUAAUCGAUACCCCCCGAUCUACCUCACCCCUUUUUGAAACUCAGCCUAUAUACCGCCGUCGUCAGCCUACCUUAUGAAAGAAAUAAAGUAAGCAAAACAGUUAUUAACUAAAACGUCAGGUCAAGGUGUAGCUUAUAAAGCGGAAGAGAUGGGCUACACUCUCUUAUCCAGAGAACACGAACAGCAUCAAUGAAAUCAGUGCUUAAAGGUGGAUUUAGCAGUAAGAUAGACAAGAGAGCCUAUCUAAAACCAGCCCUGGAGCGCGCACACACCGCCCGUCACCCUCAUCA